UACGUAGGUGGCAGGCGUGUCCGGAAUUAUUGGGCGUAAAGCGCGCGCAGGUGGUUCUUUUAAGUCUGAUGUGAAAGCCCACGGCUCAACCGUGGAGGGUCAUUGGAAACUGGGGAACUUGAGUGCAGAAGAGGAAAGUGGAAUUCCAAGUGUAGCGGUGAAAUGCGUAGAGAUUUGGAGGAACACCAGUGGCGAAGGCGACUUUCUGGUCUGUAACUGACACUGAGGCGCGAAAGCGUGGGGAGCAAACAGGG
Molecule: ribosomal RNA, 254 nt
Filed under: uncultured bacterium
Lineage: Bacteria
Description: partial 16S ribosomal RNA
Rfam family: Bacterial small subunit ribosomal RNA
Source: RNAcentral